GACGAACGCUGGCGGCGUGCUUAACACAUGCAAGUCGAACGGUGACGAGGAGCUUGCUCCUCUGAUCAGUGGCGAACGGGUGAGUAACACGUGAGCAACCUGCCCCAGACUCUGGGAUAACAGUUGGAAACAGCUGCUAAUACCGGAUACGAGACGGAGAGGCACCUCUACCGUCUGGAAAGUUUUUCGGUCUGGGAUGGACUCGCGGCCUAUCAGCUAGUUGGUGAGGUAAUGGCUCACCAAGGCGACGACGGGUAGCCGGCCUGAGAGGGCGACCGGCCACACUGGGACUGAGACACGGCCCAGACUCCUACGGGAGGCAGCAGUGGGGAAUAUUGCACAAUGGGCGAAAGCCUGAUGCAGCGACGCCGCGUGAGGGAUGACGGCCUCGGUUGUAACGUACUUCUACGCAGGAGAAGACGAAGUAGACGGUACCGUCGCAGAAGAAGACGACCGGACCGUAACUAACGUCGCCACGCAGCCGCGGUAACGUAGU
RNAcentral lists this ribosomal RNA (496 nucleotides) under uncultured bacterium. RNAcentral describes it as "bacterial SSU rRNA". It matches the Rfam family "Bacterial small subunit ribosomal RNA", at positions 28 to 531 of the family's 1533-position model. The record is from RNAcentral.